Chrysolophus pictus (golden pheasant) is the source of this 71-nucleotide small nucleolar RNA. The record is from Ensembl. NCBI's taxonomy places the organism in Eukaryota, Metazoa, Chordata, Aves, Galliformes, Phasianidae.
AGGGGGGUGAUGACAGUUUGUGAUGCGUUGAGUUCGCUGUGAUGCUGCUGUAUUCGUACUGUCUGACCCCA